RNAcentral lists this ribosomal RNA (423 nucleotides) under uncultured bacterium. RNAcentral's name for it is "bacterial SSU rRNA". It matches the Rfam family "Bacterial small subunit ribosomal RNA", at positions 207 to 622 of the family's 1533-position model. The record is from RNAcentral.
AAGACCUUGCGCUUUUGGAGCGGCCGAUGUCUGAUUAGCUUGUUGGUAAGGUAAAAGCCUACCAAGGCUUCGAUCAGUAGYUGGUCUGAGAGGACGACCAGCCACACUGGGACUGAGACACGGCCCAGACUCCUACGGGAGGCAGCAGUGGGGAAUUUUGGACAAUGGGGGCAACCCUGAUCCAGCCAUGCCGCGUGAGUGAAGAAGGCCUUCGGGUUGUAAAGCUCUUUCAGCCGGAACGAAACGGUUACGGUUAAUACCCGUGACUACUGACGGUACCGGAAGAAGAAGCACCGGCUAACUACGUGCCAGCAGCCGCGGUAAUACGUAGGGUGCAAGCGUUAAUCGGAAUUACUGGGCGUAAAGCGUGCGCAGGUGGUUUUGUAAGUCAGAUGUGAAAUCCCCGAGCUCAACUUGGGAACU